Harpia harpyja (harpy eagle) is the source of this 285-nucleotide long non-coding RNA. RefSeq lists it as uncharacterized. The record is from RefSeq and is a predicted model, not a curated record. Lineage: Eukaryota; Metazoa; Chordata; Aves; Accipitriformes; Accipitridae. The transcript is spliced from 3 exons.
GAGUUCCGCAGUUUCGUUGGGUGGCGUAGGAGCAAAAAAUUAAUUUCAGUUGCUCUGAAAAUCUGCCAGCUGAUAAUUAUAGCUGGCACCUCCUAAUUCUUGUGUUAUGAGAGAGGAGCUGCACCUGGACUCAGGAGAGCCCGGAGAGCCGGAUCUUGUACAAAGGAGGCACAGCAAACUAGUAUGUGGCAGCUGUGAUUCCAGGUUGACUAACAGAUAAGUCUAUAUGAUACAGAGGGUCACCUGAUCAGAACUAUAAACUCUCAGAAGAAGAUAAGACUAAGC